GCAGGUGGCAAGCGUUGUCCGGAAUUAUUGGGCGUAAAGCGCGCGCAGGUGGUUCUUUAAGUCUGAUGUGAAAGCCCCCGGCUCAACCGGGGAGGGUCAUUGGAAACUGGGGAACUUGAGUGCAGGAGAGGAAAGUGGAAUUCCACGUGUAGCGGUGAAAUGCGUAGAUAUGUGGAGGAACACCAGUGGCGAAGGCGACUUUCUGGCCUGUAACUGACACUGAGGCGCGAAAGCGUGGGGAGCAAACAGGAUUAGAUACCCUGGUAGUCCACGCCGUAAACGAUGAGUGCUAAGUGUUGGGGGGGUUUUCCGGCCCCCCCUCAGUGCUGCAGCUAACGCAUUAAGCACUCCGCCUGGGAGUACGGUCGCAAGACUG
Molecule: ribosomal RNA, 376 nt
Filed under: uncultured organism
Description: partial 16S ribosomal RNA
Rfam family: Bacterial small subunit ribosomal RNA
Source: RNAcentral